CACAACCCCAUUUGUCAGUUCUUUCCCCUUUCUCAGAUCGCUGCCUGGCAUGCGAACAGACCUCUCUCUCUCGCGCCCCCUUUCCCCUUUCUUCUUUCAUGUUGCUCAUUUCUAACCUCUCUCUCUCUCCCUUCAGUCCCUCUCCCCCUUCUCCAGUCCAUCGGUGCGCGGGCCUUCCCCCCCACUACCACCAUGGAUCCCCUGUCUACCAUGGCUCCUGUAUGUGGUGCGCCCGGUUGUGGGCAGAGAUUAGAAGAACUCAUUUUCCGCUGCUACUGUGGUGAUCCCGCAUGGUGCGUGACCUCAGGCAACCCCAAAUCCGUGAAACCUGGACAUGGGAUGGACUGUAAAGGAUCUGAAAUCAGUCUCGAUUUUGGUCAGUUUGGGUCUUGGCCCCCAAUCGUCGAGCCAGCCCUAAGGCAAUUCCUGAAAAGAGUUACUUCAUUCAAUUGCUAGCUGAAAAUGCUGCACGAAUGGUUACAGAGGGUGAUCAGGGUGCAGAAUCGUUUGAUAUUGCAAGGAUAUGAGCAGAGCAUUUCAGGAGACAGCUGAUUACAUCAAAAUGAAGACUUUGUGUGCUGCUGUUGGAUAGGAGUUAGAAGACGACACAAGCUGCAAUGAGCAAGGCAAUGGUGCCUAUACAGAUGACCAAACUGGUGAUGCUCAGUAUUCAGUUGUGUAGGCUUGUAAUAUGAUGUAAAAAGUGUUAACUAGAUGGUGUUAUUAUUGACUUUAAGUACCAACCGACUUGAUAUUAAACCGUGGUACUCACAUGUAAAUAUGAGUACUCGGCACGCAUGAUCAAUAUAAGUUCUUUAUAUCAUGGUA
Long non-coding RNA from Panicum hallii, 828 nucleotides. RefSeq lists it as uncharacterized. The transcript has 2 exons. The record is from RefSeq and is a predicted model, not a curated record. NCBI's taxonomy places the organism in Eukaryota, Viridiplantae, Streptophyta, Magnoliopsida, Poales, Poaceae.